CGAAUCCCCGAGGGCUUGCUCUCGGGGGGAAGUGGCGAAAGGGGCAGUAAGGCGUGGGUAACCUACCCCGGGGAUGGGCAUAGCCGUCCUAACGGACGGGUAAUUCUCAGCGAUCUGACGGGACCGCAUGAUUCUGUCAGCAAAUGAAUUUCGCCCUGGGAGGGGCUCACGUGGUAUUAGCUAGUUGGUAGGGUAAUGGCCUACCAAGGCGUUGAUGCCUAGCUGGUGUGAGAGCAUGACCAGCGCCACUGGCACUGAGACACUGGCCAGACUCCUACGGGAGGCUGCAGCCGAGAAUCUUCGGCAAUGGGCGCAAGCCUGACCGAGCGACGCUGCGUGUGCGAUGAAGGCCUUCGGGUUGUAAAGCACUGUCGAGGGGGAGAAAAGGGCAACCUUGAUCUAUCCCUGGAGGAAGCACGGGCUAAGUUCGUGCCAGCAGCCGCGGUAAGACGAACCGUGCGAACGUUGUUCGGAAUCACUGGGCUUAAAGGGCGCGUAGGCGGUCUACCAAGUCGGGGGUGAAAUCUUUCGGCUCAACCGGAAAAGUGCCUUCGAUACUGGUAGACUAGAGUGGGGUAGGGGCAGAUGGAACUUCCGGUGGAGCGGUGAAAUGUGUUGAUAUCGGAACGGAACGCCGGUGGCGAAAGCGAUCUGCUGGACCUCUUCUGACGCUGAGGCGCGAAAGCCAGGGGAGCAAACGGGAUUAGAUACCCCGGUAGUCCUGGCCCUAAACGAUGGGUACUGAGUAGUGGACUUGCAUGGGUCCACUGCUGAAGCAAAAGUGGUAA
This 788-nucleotide ribosomal RNA is filed under the name uncultured bacterium. RNAcentral's name for it is "bacterial SSU rRNA". It matches the Rfam family "Bacterial small subunit ribosomal RNA", at positions 63 to 863 of the family's 1533-position model. The record is from RNAcentral.